AUACGUAGGGUGCGAGCGUUGUCCGGAAUUACUGGGCGUAAAGAGCUCGUAGGUGGUUUGUCGCGUCGUCUGUGAAAUUCCGGGGCUUAACUCCGGGCGUGCAGGCGAUACGGGCAUAACUUGAGUACUGUAGGGGAGACUGGAAUUCCUGGUGUAGCGGUGCAAUGCGCAGAUAUCAGGAGGAACACCGGUGGCGAAGGCGGGUCUCUGGGCAGUAACUGACGCUGAGGAGCGAAAGCAUGGGUAGCGAACAGGAUUAGAUACCCUGGUAGUCCAUGCCGUAAACGGUGGGCGCUAGGUGUAGGGGUCUUCCACGACUUCUGUGCCGUAGCUAACGCAUUAAGCGCCCCGCCUGGGGAGUACGGCCGCAAGGCUAAAACUCAAAUGAAUUGGCGGGG
RNAcentral lists this ribosomal RNA (398 nucleotides) under uncultured bacterium. RNAcentral's name for it is "partial 16S ribosomal RNA". It matches the Rfam family "Bacterial small subunit ribosomal RNA", at positions 523 to 918 of the family's 1533-position model. The record is from RNAcentral.